UUUCAUGGAAUAAAAUGAGUUUUAUAGAAACAAAACCUAUCUACUAUGUUUUCAACAUAUGGAGAUUUGGAAAUCGGAAAAAGUCUACAUAACCCCCCUCAACUAUUCACAGUGUAGUCUACUUCACCCCCGAACUAUAAACCAGAUAUUCUAUCAUCUGAACUUUCAAAACCGGUCAAAUAACCCUCUCAAGUGGUUUUGGAGGGUGGUUUUGUCUUUUUUCUUUUUUAUUUAUUUUCGCUGAAUGUUUGCAAAAUCAUAACAAAUCAUAGAAAAAUAGUAAAAUGAAAAUUAUAAUUUUGUUGGCUCUAGAUGAGUAGAUCUACACAGUGAAUAUAUAAUAUAGUAUACUUUAGUACAAAGUUUUUGUUGUAACUUUAAAUCUAUAUUUUUCUAUAAUUAAUUAGAAUAAUUCAUAUAUAUGGUUUCUAUGGUCCAAUUAUGGUAAAAUUUUUAUGGUGGGCUCAUUAUUGUAUGCUUGA
RNAcentral lists this long non-coding RNA (482 nucleotides) under Sorghum bicolor (sorghum). RNAcentral describes it as "long non-coding RNA (SBIC_LNC007506)". Lineage: Eukaryota; Viridiplantae; Streptophyta; Magnoliopsida; Poales; Poaceae. The record is from RNAcentral.